Molecule: ribosomal RNA, 465 nt
Filed under: Vreelandella stevensii
Lineage: Bacteria; Pseudomonadati; Pseudomonadota; Gammaproteobacteria; Oceanospirillales; Halomonadaceae
Description: partial 16S ribosomal RNA
Rfam family: Bacterial small subunit ribosomal RNA
Source: RNAcentral
CCUACGGGGGGCUGCAGUGGGGAAUAUUGGACAAUGGGGGCAACCCUGAUCCAGCCAUGCCGCGUGUGUGAAGAAGGCCCUCGGGUUGUAAAGCACUUUCAGUGAGGAAGAACGCCUGGUGGUUAAUACCCAUCAGGAAAGACAUCACUCACAGAAGAAGCACCGGCUAACUCCGUGCCAGCAGCCGCGGUAAUACGGAGGGUGCGAGCGUUAAUCGGAAUUACUGGGCGUAAAGCGCGCGUAGGUGGCUUGAUAAGCCGGUUGUGAAAGCCCCGGGCUCAACCUGGGAACGGCAUCCGGAACUGUCAAGCUAGAGUGCAGGAGAGGAAGGUAGAAUUCCCGGUGUAGCAGUGAAAUGCGUAGAGAUCGGGAGGAAUACCAGUGGCGAAGGCGGCCUUCUGGACUGACACUGACACUGAGGUGCGAAAGCGUGGGUAGCAAACAGGAUUAGAUACCCCUGUAGUC